AAUGCUUUGCUGCAAAGGUACUUGCAGGUGCCUUAUGGUAAUGUCUUUCUCUCUUUCAUUCCUGAGAAUUAUCUUCUACUGUUCUAGUAUUAAAAGUCUGAAAUGUCAGCCAGCUGGUCGCUGAUUAAUAAAGGAAUGACUCUUUCAGUGUAGGCACUGCCAGAAGCCAGUCAGAGCUGAUGCUUGACCUGUACACUUGAGACAAGGAGCAGAGACAGCUGCAGGAUGAGAAGAGAGGAGAAAAACGUAGAUGCCAGAUACAUAUAAUUGGAUGCAUGCCACUGCAGUCUCUGCAGCGCAGGCCACAUGCCAGGUCUCCUUCUUAGCCUGAUUCUUUGAGAUUUCUGCAUUUGAAAGAGGCCAUAAAAGAAAAAAAGAUACAGAUGCUUUUCAAGUAUAUGGACGUCAAAUGGAUCUGAAGACACUAAAGAUGGCAUAUCAUUGGAUGGAUACCACUGGCUUUCAACAUAGAAAUCUAAAUAUAGAAAGGAUUAAACAAUCACUUAUAAUUUCACUAAAAUAAGUGCCAAGAUUCCUAUAGUUUCUAAUGGGGGCAGGAGCUGACCUCCUCCUUAGCUGUCCUCAGUUAAACAAUACAGAAACAUAAUGGUAAGUAAUUAAGAGAUGUGGGCUUUUGUCAUUUUUAAUUCCAUGAAAUUUUGUGUUAUUGUUUAUGGUAUUUUUUUAACUCUUGAACUAUGCUGUUAUGUAAAUCUCAGAUCUCUUCAUGCAGCAAUUAUCUGUAUGAGUUUGGAGGUCAAAGUGUUGUGAAAAUAUACUGGGUGUAGAAAUUAAUCAACAUACAAAAUGUACUGGAUUUUCAAGUAGGAAAUAAAAUGUGAUUUUUAUUUUUCUCUUACAAAAACACCUCAGUGAUUUAUUUUUAUAUAAGUAAGAAAUUGCUGUUUAGCAGUCCACCCUCCCAUGAAUAGUAGCUUUCAAAAAGAUGCUUAUCCAAAGUGAUGUCUUAAGCACUUUUGGUAUUUCCCACUGUGAAAAAGAUGGAAUAUAUAGCUGUUGUUAAGUGAUGGAGGAGUAAUGAAUUUAAUCAAACAACAAUAAUAAAAAAAAUCAUAUCACCACAGUAGCAUUAAUCUGCAGAACCUAAACCAGAGCUAAAUGAAUGUCACUCAGAAGGCAAGAGGUGAAAUUCUCCAUGCUAUUUGUGCAGCUUCAUAUUUAUCUGGGGCCCAUCAUCCUAAAGCAGAAUUGAACUAGAGAAUGUAACCUCCCAGAGAUUGAUUGAUUGAUGGAUUGAUUUUCAAUUGACAGCUUGUUGGUUUGUCUCUUAGGUGGAAAAGUUUAUGCACUUGCUUAGAAAGGUGGUUUUUCUGACUCAUGCCUUCUUCUUCUAUAUAUCCAGCCAAUGUAACCAUAAUUUAAUAUUAAGUUUGUGUCUAAUACUCUGUGUAUAUUUAUAUUGGCGAAACUACCCAGGCUCAUACAUUGCCUACCUUGGUAUUUGUAUUCAGGUCAGUCAUCAAAAAGAAGUAGUUGGAUUGAAUUUAGUUCUGUUUUACUCACUGUUAAGGGAAUUGGUUGGCAAGUAGGGAAGGAAUUGAUCUUAGUUAUAAAAUGGAUAGAAAUGAAUGUGGUGUCACCACUGUUUUAAGUUGGAGAGGCAUGUUACAACAGAGACUCUGUGAAGCAGUGCACCACUUGGAAAUUUGUCUCACCCUGUACUUAGAAGUGUUAGUCACUUAACCAUAUUUUUCACUCAGCAUCACAUGUUCUUGCAUUUAAAAUGGCGUAAAUCUCUGUUGGCUAUUCAUGUUCCAUCCUAAUGAAAAACAGAAAUAAAACUGCAGCAGGCAGAAAUUUGAUUCAUCAC
This is a long non-coding RNA of Gallus gallus (chicken), 1831 nucleotides long. The record is from Ensembl. Lineage: Eukaryota; Metazoa; Chordata; Aves; Galliformes; Phasianidae.